UACGUAGGGGGCAAGCGUUGUCCGGAUUUACUGGGCGUAAAGAGCGUGUAGGCGGCCAAGCAGGUCCGUUGUGAAAACUGGAGGCUUAACCUCCGGACGUCGACGGAAACCGCGUGGCUAGAGUCCGGAAGAGGAGAGUGGAAUUCCUGGUGUAGCGGUGAAAUGCGCAGAUAUCAGGAAGAACACCAAUGGCGAAGGCAGCUCUCUGGGACGGUACUGACGCUGAGACGCGAAAGCGUGGGGAGCGAACAGG
This 253-nucleotide ribosomal RNA is filed under the name uncultured bacterium. RNAcentral's name for it is "partial 16S ribosomal RNA". It matches the Rfam family "Bacterial small subunit ribosomal RNA", at positions 524 to 776 of the family's 1533-position model. The record is from RNAcentral.